UGCAAGUCGAACGCUUCUUUUUCCACCGGAGCUUGCUCCCACCGGAAAAAGAGGAGUGGCGAACGGGUGAGUAACACGUGGGUAACCUGCCCAUCAGAAGGGGAUAACACUUGGAAACAGGUGCUAAUACCGUAUAACAAUCGAAACCGCAUGGUUUUGAUUUGAAAGGCGCUUUCGGGUGUCGCUGAUGGAUGGACCCGCGGUGCAUUAGCUAGUUGGUGAGGUAACGGCUCACCAAGGCGACGAUGCAUAGCCGACCUGAGAGGGUGAUCGGCCACAUUGGGACUGAGACACGGCCCAAACUCCUACGGGAGGCAGCAGUAGGGAAUCUUCGGCAAUGGACGAAAGUCUGACCGAGCAACGCCGCGUGAGUGAAGAAGGUUUUCGGAUCGUAAAACUCUGUUGUUAGAGAAGAACAAGGAUGAGAGUAACUGUUCAUCCCUUGACGGUAUCUAACCAGAAAGCCACGGCUAACUACGUGCCAGC
RNAcentral lists this ribosomal RNA (486 nucleotides) under Enterococcus hirae. Its description in RNAcentral is "bacterial SSU rRNA". It matches the Rfam family "Bacterial small subunit ribosomal RNA", at positions 56 to 512 of the family's 1533-position model. Lineage: Bacteria; Bacillati; Bacillota; Bacilli; Lactobacillales; Enterococcaceae. The record is from RNAcentral.